CACGGUGGAUGCCUUGGCACUAGAAGCCGAUGAAGGACGUUACUAACGACGAUAUGCUUUGGGGAGCUGUAAGUAAGCUUUGAUCCAGAGAUUUCCGAAUGGGGAAACCCAGCAUGAGUUAUGUCAUGUUAUCGAUAUGUGAAUACAUAGCAUAUCAGAAGGCACACCCGGAGAACUGAAACAUCUUAGUACCCGGAGGAAGAGAAAGAAAAUUCGAUUCCCUUAGUAGCGGCGAGCGAAACGGGAAGAGCCCAAACCAACAAGCUUGCUUGUUGGGGUUGUAGGACACUCUAUACGGAGUUACAAAGGACGACAUUAGACGAAUCAUCUGGAAAGAUGAAUCAAAGAAGG
This 351-nucleotide ribosomal RNA is filed under the name Staphylococcus aureus. Its description in RNAcentral is "partial 23S ribosomal RNA". It matches the Rfam family "Bacterial large subunit ribosomal RNA", at positions 20 to 364 of the family's 2925-position model. Lineage: Bacteria; Bacillati; Bacillota; Bacilli; Caryophanales; Staphylococcaceae. The record is from RNAcentral.